AGGCCUGAUGUUGCUGUGGUGUGA
RNAcentral lists this non-coding RNA (24 nucleotides) under Arabidopsis thaliana (thale cress). Lineage: Eukaryota; Viridiplantae; Streptophyta; Magnoliopsida; Brassicales; Brassicaceae. The record is from RNAcentral.